This 1637-nucleotide long non-coding RNA is filed under the name Marmota monax (woodchuck). The record is from RNAcentral. Lineage: Eukaryota; Metazoa; Chordata; Mammalia; Rodentia; Sciuridae.
GGUUGAUUGGUGUCUUUCUUUGGGAUUUAGGAAGCAGGAAGGACACUGGAAUACUCUUCAGCCAGUGAUGGUGUUGAAGGUGGUGCUGCUGUGGCCCCAGGACUGGAGUGGACCCUAUUCUACCUUGUCAGUGACAGCAAGAAAGCUGGUGUCUACAGAGAAAAAUGGAGCAGAUGUGCAGAGGAGGACAGAUCUAACACACAGUGAGAGGGACUGAGAGAGUCGGAGAAGCUACCCACUUUUGCAAUUUCCAGUCCUUGGUUUCAGACCCUCCUGAGACCAGUGUACACUAGAGACUGUGGAGCUAAAUUAGGCUGUUAAUACUUCUCAAAGAAUUCAGGAGAAGCAAUCAGGUGUGUUAACCAUUGGUGAGAGCCAAUGACUGGCCCUCAAGUGGGCAGGGGUCUCUCUGUGAAAGGAGUCUGUCCACUUAGAGCUAACCCCUAAGCCAGUGAGCUGGAGUAAGGGGUAGGCAGAAGAUGGAAGUUCGCUCAGGUGAGCUCAUAGCAGGGUUCUUAUUUAAGGAAUGAUAGAGAUUGAAUGAUUAUUCUUAAUUCUUCACUCUCUCCCUGUAAUAGAAUUACAUGUUCACGCCUUUUGCCAUAUAGCUUUGCACAUAUCCUACUAGAAUAGGUGAAAAAAAUAUUCCCAUCUCUUCAAUGGUGGACGUGGUCAGUUGACUUGCUUUGGAUAAUGAAAUACAGAUGAACUUGACAAUGAGGUGAGGUGAGGUCUUCAGAGUCAUGGAAAGUUGCCACUGGCUACCAACCUCCCUUUUUUUGAUGGUACUAGAGUUUGAAGCUCUACCACUGAGCUACAUCCUCAAUCCUUUUUAUUUAUUUAUUUUUUAAAUUUGAGACAGUAUUCUCUCAGUUGCCCAGGCUGGCCUCAAAUUUGCUAUCCUCCUGCCUCAGCCUCUUGUGUUGCUGGGAUUACUGGUAUGUGCCACUGCACCCAGCUCCACUAGUCUUUUCUUGUAUCCUUCCAUCCAUAAUGAGAAGAGUCUGCCCCAGGAAGUUGAGGGUCCCAGAAAUAUAUGAAACUGAUCUGUACUUGACCCAGUGCUUGAUUCAGAGCCUCUCAACCCAACCCACAGAUUGUAAAUGGGAAAAAUAAAGAUUAUUUUUUUUAAAUAAGCCACUAAGACUAUGGGAUUGUUUAUUACUUGGUAAUGGCUGACUAAUACAGAGAAGAACUGAAUCCUAGGAAAAAUGUACAAUAGAAGCCAAGGAGCCUGGUAGUACCCAAAUGGGCCCAGCCUGGAGAAGGGGAGGGGAGAGUCAGACUCAGAGGCAACAUGAGUAGUCAUGUGGAUUCUUACAGGUCAUCCCAGAGGGCACCAGACCCAUGUAUGAUUGGAAGAGGGAAAUGAGAGUGGUCUGGGGGAAAUACCUGUCACCUCAUUGAUCAUCUGGCUUGAAGGGAAAAUCAGGAGGAACACAGGAGCCAAGCAGCUGUAACUGAGCUGGUGACAUUAUUCUAAGCCAUUGUGUCAGCUUGGGCUUCAUACACUCCCCAGGUUGGUCAGCACUGACCCAGAAACUGGGCACAAUGGUGGAUCUUGUUGUGAAGGACCUGGGAAGGCAUGAGCAGAAAAACAAAUUGGAGAAUAUACAAUCUCAGCUCCCAAAUGCUUC